Molecule: ribosomal RNA, 254 nt
Filed under: uncultured bacterium
Lineage: Bacteria
Description: partial 16S ribosomal RNA
Rfam family: Bacterial small subunit ribosomal RNA
Source: RNAcentral
UACGGGGGGGGCAAGCGUUGUUCGGAAUUACUGGGCGUAAAGGGCUCGUAGGUGGCCAACUAAGUCAGACGUGAAAUCCCUCGGCUUAACCGGGGAACUGCGUCUGAUACUGGACGGCUUGAGUUUGGGAGAGGGACGCGGAAUUCCAGGUGUAGCGGUGAAAUGCGUAGAUAUCUGGAGGAACACCGGUGGCGAAGGCGGCGUCCUGGACCAACACUGACACUGAGGAGCGAAAGCCAGGGGAGCAAAGCGGG